CGAGUCUUUCCGUUUAGCAGAAGGGAGGCGCUGCUCGAGUGAGCUCUUCAGUGAAAGAAGCGAAGGUUUCAUUUCUCUGUGACGGGACUGCUCGACUGAAGACGCGCAGAUAACGGUUAGAUGAUAACGCUUCACUCACAGUAGCAUGCCAUGUGCUUAUUAUAAAUGAUUAUGUGAUAUCGAUGCGUGAAAGUUUGUAAUAAUGACAGAGCUGAAUCUACUUUCUCUGACGAACUGCUGGCGUCUGAGCUGAAUUAGCUGCUUGCUUGUGUGCUCCAGUGAGCUGCGUGUUGUCUGCUUCCCAAACGCUCUCGGAUUCAGAAUCUGCUGUUUUGUGUCGCAAAAGAAGGACACGCGCAUGACCUGAACUGCAUGUUGUGUGGAGUAUCCCUGAAAACCCUCACCGCCAGGGAAAAGAGACAUUGCGGGAUCUUCAACGGUCGAGAUUCGGGAGCGGCAAGAGGAGCGAUUCACAGCUGUGCAUAUUACACCAGGAGGACACCACCAGAACUCUGGACUUCAUUCAAAGGCACUCUGUAGGUAUUAAUCCGGAGAGAGGAACAAUGAAGUUGAAAGGAAAAGUGGCAUCUAAAACAACAGGACAAAUGGUACAGAAGAAGCAGCUUGAAGUGAACCCACAUGUUGUCACUCUUCUUUGCAAAGUGAAGGAUUUUCAGUGGAAUUUCUGAAAUGUAAGUGCACACAC
This 706-nucleotide long non-coding RNA is filed under the name Sinocyclocheilus anshuiensis. RNAcentral's name for it is "lncRNA (ENSSANG00000025866.1)". Lineage: Eukaryota; Metazoa; Chordata; Actinopteri; Cypriniformes; Cyprinidae. The record is from RNAcentral.